This 513-nucleotide ribosomal RNA is filed under the name uncultured bacterium. RNAcentral's name for it is "partial 16S ribosomal RNA". It matches the Rfam family "Bacterial small subunit ribosomal RNA", at positions 28 to 507 of the family's 1533-position model. The record is from RNAcentral.
GACGAACGCUGGCGGCGUGCUUAACACAUGCAAGUCGAACGAGAGCGUAGAGAAAGCUUGCUUUUUCUACAAUCUAGUGGCAAACGGGUGAGUAACGCGUAAACAACCUGCCCUACGGAUGGGGACAACAGCUGGAAACGGCUGCUAAUACCGAAUACGUUCCGAAAGUCGCAUGACUAUCGGAAGAAAGGAUGGCCUCUAUUUAUAAGCUAUCGCCGGAGGAGGGGUUUGCGUCUGAUUAGCUAGUUGGAGGGGUAACGGCCCACCAAGGCGACGAUCAGUAGCCGGUCUGAGAGGAUGAACGGCCACAUUGGAACUGAGACACGGUCCAGACUCCUACGGGAGGCAGCAGUGGGGAAUCUUCCGCAAUGGGCGAAAGCCUGACGGAGCAACGCCGCGUGAGUGAAGACGGCCUUCGGGUUGUAAAGCUCUGUUAUACGGGACGAAUAAUCUUGUGGUUAAUACCCAUGAGAAGUGACGGUACUGUAAGAGAAAGCCACGGCUAACUACGUG